CUACCUGGCAGGGGACCCAGCGUCCCUACUGGGCCCAUCGGGCCCACCGAACUGGGACCGUCCCCCUCCGUUGGACCGGAAGUCCCUUGCGCCCCUGCAACGUUAAACGACGAUCCUUGAAUUUCUCCACUCGAUCUAAACACUGCGAAUCGAGACCUGAAAAUUCAAAAUUCGUCUCCCCUUUUUUCGAGGGGAAGGAGGGGAUGAAAAUUUUCACGAGUUUAUAAUGGCAGAUGCAGGGUACCAACGUGGAGCAGCCAUUUAACGUGGAGUGGUCUGACCAGUUAAUCGGUUAUUCACCGGUACGAAGACGAACCGGAGGAUCGUGCCACGGCAUCUAUUCGACUGAUCGUAAGCGCAGGAGCCGGCCACGAGGACGAAGAAAGAAGGGAGGAAGAAUUUAAUGAGAUGGCGGGAGAGGAGAAAAAUCUAGGAGGGGAAGGAAGAUGCUCUCCAGUCAACUCGGCGAAGAGAGAAAGUUGAAGUGGUACCACUCGGUAACAAAGGAAUUCGUUUUCGUAUACACUCGAUUUUUUCAACGAGAUUUCAAACAAGCUGGAAAAUCGUCCAGAAGAAGGUACUCUUCCGAGAACUCCUUUAAACGAGAGAAUUCAAGUUCGUUGCCAGCCAACGAAUAUUAGGAGAGAUAUUAUCGAAGCCCUGAUUGAUUUAAUAUCCAAUAAUGGAAAAAAUGAGAUAUGGAGGGGUCGGUUGAAAUAUCUUCGCAUAUCGAGAGUCCAGAAUUCCGGUGGAAAGCACGCGUGGGUGAGAUCCCAGGCGGGAGAUAGAGUCCAGCGUACAAAGAAGAGGGUUCCCGAGAAGUUUCGAGGUAGCUGGAAGGGCAAAUGGAACGCGAGGAUCCGCGGAAUGCCGACCGUCCGGCUGGCAAUAUCCUUGCCCCGUCCUAUCUCCUCGCAUUAUCCUGCCGUAUCUCAGCCGUGCAACACACAGCCAAACUCUCGUUCUCUUCCCCCUUCUCGUCUUUGCCACGGCGCGGCAUCUUUCGCGGUGUCUCGAGACGCUCCAACACCCUCGAACCGGGAGAAAAUUAUUGCAUUCUAAAACGGAAACAAUGAAAUAGUUUCGUCGGUAUCUUUCGGCUAAACGAAUCUUUCGGCCGCUCCUCCCCAAUGAAGAUAAUGAAUCACCAAAUUCUCGUUACCGUAAUGCCGAUGGAUGAGAUUUUAAGUGGAAGCGUGUCCCUCGAUUACCGUGGGAUUCGUAGAAAGAAUUUCAGUGGCUGGAAAAAUUUUGAUUAUCCAGAUUUAUAAGGUAAAAGUCCACUCGAAGUGAAUUACGAAUUAUAAUUGAGAAAGUUUGUAACUAUGUCAACCACUCCAACUGGUUGGAUUUACUUAGUUACAUGAAAUAUGAUGGAAGCGAUGAGGAUGAAGAUGACACGGUGCGGUACGGUAAGGUACGGCACGAAUCCACAAAGUCCAACUUCUUUAGAUUCUAUUCCUGACAGAGCUGUAGCCAAGAUUAUUCAUUGGAAAAAUUGUAUGUUGAACGAUAAUAUGUUUUAAUAUGAUAUUUGUGAUUGGAUAAAUGGAGUAAGUAAAGAUUGAGUAAAGCUCAAUACAAAAGGUUUAACGUUAUUUCAGGUACGUGAUACAAAAUAUGUUUCUAAAGGAGCAUCAUGUUGGAUAAAAUUUUAGAAAUGCAUCUCAUAUUGCUUGCCUUCACAUUGACCAUAUGCUAUCUUGCUCUUAUCCGUUUUAAAAUGCAUCUCAAAUCGAAUUCUUCUUCGACUCUUGGACAAAGUUGCCAAAAGAGAGUAAUGGAUCCAUGGAAAAGAGAAUUGCGAAAUGGAUAGAGAGGAAAAUGAAAUGCAAAGUGAUAGUGAAAAUGGGAAGGUAGAGAGGGAGGGGUGAGCGAGUUCCAAAAACCUAAGAAGAACAUCAUCGAUCGCAGCUGUCGCGUUCGCUCCGCACCUGCUAUUGUCCGCUUGCCUUCCAGUCGACGACAAGUGAGAGAGGGAACGACCCCUUUCCUUUCCGUAUAUGUAGCACGAACCAGUGUACGGGCGUGCGCGCGUGCAUGAAGGUGUCGUACACGUUGCCCGCGUAAACUUCGGUCCACGUGUCAUUGCGUGAGGACCACCUACUAGUUUUCAUGCGUCUUCCUUUCGUCGACCCUUCUCACACCUCUUUUCCCCCUUGGUCUUUCUUUUUGUUCGUUUUUGUUUUAUUUCUCUGUUAUAUAAUUAUGUGUUAUGCAACGAUAAUUGUUCUCCAAAACGAUCGAUAAUCGUGGCAAAUGUGUGAAAUGUUGUCCUAUACAUCAUUCAUCCUUAUCUUUGAACGAUUUUAUCUUUCAUUUUCGAUAGGACAAUUUAGAAAUUGGACCAUUUACCUUUUCCUUGUUUUAUCAUUUUCUUAAUUUAAUAUUGUGCGACAAAUUAUUUUAAGGACAGCAAUAUAUUGGUAACAAAAAAUAAUGGUUGAUUAUUAAUCAUUAGUACACUUAUCUUAAUUUUAAGAAAUAUUAUUUUGUAAAUCCUUAUUGAAAAAUUUCACUUCUUCGGGAUACUUGAUAAUAAUUAUCGUGUAUUUGUCGUCAGAAAAGAAAAAAGAGAGACCAAAACCACCGUCCUAAUCAAUUUAACCCACACUCUCGACUACUCUUUCAGACCAAAAACGUGACCACUGUCCAAAUGACAAAAAAUCCAAGACACCCCCGGUCCCAAAAGAUGUAGAGUACUCGAGCAUAUAGAAACUGUGAAUGAAAGAAUGAGUCACAAAGGGGGUAGAUAUCUCGAAGGGUAAAUCGCUUAGGAAGGGUGCCAACUGUUCGUUGCAACACUUGCGCGAACACGUAACCGCGAGGGAAUUUCGAUGGAUUUCACGUCAGUCAAGGGAUUCGCGAUGCCCAGGGGCGUUUCGCACCGAGAGCAAAAUCCCAUGAGAAACGGACCAAGUGGUGCAAUGGAGGGAGGAGGUUGCGGAUCUACGAAAGAGUCAGUCGGGAUUAACGAUGUAUCGAUUCGAGGGUGCGUCACGAAAAGUCAUUUUCAUCUGGCCUUCCGAAAGUUUUCGCUUAAUCCUCUUAGUCCUAUCAUCCGAUAUUUUAAUCUAGAAUCAGCAUAUAUUUCUCAGCGAUUUAAGCUGAAAAGUUUUGAAUGAGAAUUUCAAACAUAUAGAUGGAGAAAUUAUUCAAGAUCUAAAUCUAUAAAAUUCUCUUUAAGACAUUUUAAAUUAUGAACAAGGAUUUGAAUGUUGUUAAUAUUUGUCAAUAAUUGCAAUAAUAGAUGCAUAUUAAUAAUUUUCUUCAACCAGCAUAUUAUUGCGUUAUAUAUUAUAUUAAUAUUUAAAAUAUUAAUCAAUGGACAUUACAUGGUUUGAUUAUCAGCAAAAAAUCUACUUAUUACUCAAAAUGAUUCAAUUUACACUUUUGCACAUUUUUCUAAAAAAUCCUUGGCAGAAUAUACUCUAAUAAUAUAUUUUAAUUUUGUAAUUUUUUUAAUAGAUUUCGGCCUAUCGUCGUUUGAAUAUCGAGUGGAAAGAAAACUAUCUAUUAUUAAUAAAUACAUUUUCUUUCUGAAUAUUUGGCAUCGAUAGAUAUACAAUCUCUUCUUGGGAAUGGGAAAUAAAUCUAAUGAACACAAUACUCACC
This is a long non-coding RNA of Apis cerana (Asiatic honeybee), 3615 nucleotides long. RefSeq lists it as uncharacterized. Lineage: Eukaryota; Metazoa; Arthropoda; Insecta; Hymenoptera; Apidae. The record is from RefSeq and is a predicted model, not a curated record.